Long non-coding RNA from Rhineura floridana, 643 nucleotides. RefSeq lists it as uncharacterized. Lineage: Eukaryota; Metazoa; Chordata; Lepidosauria; Squamata; Rhineuridae. The record is from RefSeq and is a predicted model, not a curated record. The transcript is spliced from 4 exons.
GUUCUCCCAUUUUCAGAAGAGAGAGGUGGCACUGCACUAGAACCAGCUGAACACAUGAAGAGAAGACUAGUAUGUUAAAGAAAAUGAUGGAAAUUUGGAUUCCUAAAUGAUGGAAAUGUGUACUAGAUUCAGUUAUGAUGUGCAUUUGGACAGAACAUGAGGAUUGUUUGGUGUUGUAUAAGGUUGUGAUAAACAGGUUCAAGAACCUUCCACCCCUGCAAGCUAUUGUAAACUGCCCUGGGAUCUUCACUGAUGAAGAGCAGCCUUAUAAAUGCAGUAAAUAAAUGAAUGUGACUGACAUGGAUGAUUUCAUAGCACCCAAGCAGCUAGUGUCUCAAAACCUUUGUUUCUCUUUCUUUGCUUUGCUUUUUUGGCUACAUGCCACCAAACCCCAGAUACAGCAACAACAACAAUAAUAAACCUACAACAGCAAGAAAUGUUGUUAGAGUCAUGUAUUAUGUCCAGGGAUAAAUAAAAGAAAAUUGUCCAGAAAGUACAUGUAUGAAACUACAGAAACAGAAAUUUUACCAGCAAUAAGCACAAGCAUGGAAGAAGGGAGUUUCAAUGUGCAGUUAGUAAACCAUUCUAAGGAGUAGGGCAUCCAGAUUGCAUAUGUUGCCAAAUGUCCCAGUAAUGAGGUGUU